GCUAUUUCCAUUUGAAAAUCUUGUUAAUUUCACUUUCAGUUUGUUGAUGUUAUUCCUGUAGAUUAUUUUGACUCCUUAUGGAUGCUUAUGUUUAUAUGCAGUUCCAUGAUAACUUCCAUCUUAAAGGCCCAAGUAGUUCAGAUUCAGAUAGAUCCUUUGAGUCUGCCCUUGCCCAUGCUCUUGAAACACAUACAUAUUAAAUUAUUGAAUUUUAUAGUUUAUCUACUUGGUUAUUAACUCACUUAAAACAUAUGUAAUUUGUGUAAACCCUCAUCAUCAUUUCAUUAGCAUUUGCUAGAUCGUUCCCCAUUAGAAAUUAUCGUAAAAACCUACCCAGGAAGUUCUUUGCAUCAUGACAUCUGUCAUUAUUUCCCAUCCAUCUUGGGCAUAGGUCACUCAUCUAGUCCUAAUUCCUUAAUUUACUAGUUUCAAUUAGGAUUUGGUUUUAUCAUUUUGUCAUUUGGCGUUUUAUCAUAUCAGUGGUUUAUCUGUUCUUUUCUUAUGCUCCUUGCACCACCACUUAAUCCACUGAUAGCUUUAACACUUCCAUGUUAGAUUAUCUCUGCGUACUAUUCUGUAUUUAGUUAAUUUCAGCUCUGCAUUAAAAAUUUUGUUUGGAAACUCCGUUUGAUUCAAUAUUGGGAAGCAGCCAUUAACAUCAUAGUCAAAUUUGUCAAACUGCUAUUUGGUCCCCUGUGGGCCAUUUGAUAUAACAGUGGUUGAACCGAGAAGCUUAUUGCUGUCCUUUAGUAGUUGAAGCUGAAGUUGGGAGGUAUUUAAUGGCUGAACUGAGAAGCCAUUAACAUCAUAGUCAUGGUGUUGGGAGGUUUUUAAUGGCUGAAGCUAUACUUGGAUAGACUACUAUACCCUUGAGUACUUUAUUAUUUAAAUAUUUUAUCCACUAAAAAUAAAGCAAUAAAUCAUUCAGUUCAACUAAAUUAAGGAAGGUUGAUCCCCCCAAAUAACCGCUAUUAGAUGCAUAACUAGAUGGACACCAUGGCUGGUUAGGAGCCAAAAACAUAAACUACUUGACUUGUAUUGUGGUCUUUAUGUGGGGUAUGAGAGUUAAAUGAAUUCAAACUGAUAAACAAUAGCAGUCAUCAUGGAUAAGCCUAUCAGUCGAUCAAGUAAUUCACUCUUUAAUUAAUUAAUUGCAGAAGUUGUGCUGCACUUUAGCUACCAGCAGCCACGAUCAAAGUCUUGCUUGCAGAUAUUUACAAGCUAGAUGAUAGAUACUAUUGUAACUUAUAUACCUUGAAAACUGAAGAAUGAGAACCCAAUCCAUGAUCCUUUUCCCACUAAGUAGAAUGAUUUGGGUCGUUAUGUAUUGAAUGGGGUUCUUUUCCUGUCAUUCUUCUCAUAAUAAAGCCCAAAUUGGAUUCUUUUCCUUUAUGUAGGUACCACUCCCAUAACAAUGAUUACCUUGAGAUCUGUCGUAGCUACAAGGCAAUCUAUGAGAUUCCAUCUGUCAAAGAAGAUCCGGCACAAUGGAUACCAAUAAGUACUGUUUUUGAAUUCAUGUCUUCCCUAUUUACCUUGGUUUUUCCUGGCAAUUAUUCCCACUUGCAGGUCCUACGGAAAAUUUGUUGGUAUUUAGUGCUGUCUCCACAUGAUCCAUUGCAGUCAAGCCUUCUUAGCUCUAUUUUGGAGGAUAAGAAUCUAGGUGAAAUUCCAACAUUUAGGUUGUUGUUGAAACAGCUGACCACAAUGGAGGUGAUCCAGUGGAAUACUCUUUGGGAGACAUAUCGGGAUGAGUUUGAGAAUGAAAAGAAGAUGCUUGGGGGUCAUUUGGGUGAGAAAGCAGCAGAGGAUCUAAAACAGAGAAUUAUUGAGCAUAACAUAUUAGUCGUGUCAAAAUAUUA
This is a non-coding RNA of Nelumbo nucifera (sacred lotus), 1862 nucleotides long. The record is from RefSeq and is a predicted model, not a curated record. Lineage: Eukaryota; Viridiplantae; Streptophyta; Magnoliopsida; Proteales; Nelumbonaceae.